Molecule: unclassified non-coding RNA, 500 nt
Filed under: Anelosimus studiosus
Lineage: Eukaryota; Metazoa; Arthropoda; Arachnida; Araneae; Theridiidae
Description: partial contains 16S ribosomal RNA and tRNA-Leu (trnL)
Rfam family: Bacterial large subunit ribosomal RNA (bases 104-404)
Source: RNAcentral
UUUGUUUUUUAAUAAAAACUAGAAUGAAAGGUUAUMCAUUCAAAUUUCUUUAUUAAUUUUUAAUAAAUAAUUUAUAUUAAAUAUAAAAAUAUAUUUAUGAAAAAAAAAGACGACAAGACCCUAUUAAAUUUUACUUAUAGUUUAGCUGGGGAAGCUUUUCAAUUAAAAUUUUUUAAAAUCUUAAAAUAAAUAUCUAAUUUAAAUUAAAAUUUAAAUAAAUUACUAUAGGGAUAACAGCAUUAUAUUUUUUAAAAGUUCAUAUUAAAAAAAAUGAUUGUGACCUCGAUGUUGAAUUAUAUUUUCUAUAUUUAAUGCAAUAAUUAUAAAAGUAGAUCUGUUCGAUCUUUAAAAUAUUACAUGAUUUGAGUUCAAACCGGUGUAAACCAGGUUGGUUUCUAUCUUUUUAUAUAUUUUUCCAGUACGAAAGGACAAAAAAAUUUUUAUUUUAAUAAAUUAGCAAAUAUAAUGCAUUAGAUUUAGAAUCUAAAUAUAUUUAAAUU